ACUUACGACCACACCGGCCUGAGUACGCCUGAUCUCGUCUGAUCUCGGAAGCUAAGCAGGGUUCGGCCCUGGUUAGUAUUUGGAUGGGAGACCGCCUGGGAAGUACCAGGUGCUGUAAGCU
Molecule: ribosomal RNA, 121 nt
Filed under: Oncorhynchus kisutch (coho salmon)
Lineage: Eukaryota; Metazoa; Chordata; Actinopteri; Salmoniformes; Salmonidae
Source: RNAcentral